UCUUUUAGCACUACAAAAUCUUUUGCAACUAAACAUAAACUUCUUGAUUAGGUUAGAAAUGGCAAUGGAUACUAAAUGAAAUAGAUUUCCGUAUUUGGUCUGUUCUUUUGUGAAUUCAGAUAGAAUAUUAAAUUUACUAUUUGCAGUGGGUUUGAAUAUCUAUUAUUUUAUUGCUUUAAUUUUUGUAUUUCGGAUAUUCAAAUAUGUUAUCUUCAUCUACUUCAUUUUGCAUAUAUCCAAAUUCAAUAUAUCUUCACAUAUCUAGCUAUUAUUUAAAUUUAUUUCUUUAGUCUUUUAAAAAAAAAAUUUAAGUGAAUUUCUGCAAACAAUCCUUCUCCCUUAUUUUGUAACACUAGAAUUCAUAGUGAAAUAUACCUGAAUUUUGUUACUAGAUGAUGGAUCAAAAUGAGAGCCUCCAGCUUGGCUAGCUCGUUGCCUGGACAAGCAUGAACACCGUUGCCAAACGGCAUGAAGGUAUUUGGUUUUGGAGCUACCUGCUUAAAUCCAUUUCCAGAAAAGCAAAAAUAGUAAGUUCCGAUUGUGCUGCUUGUAUGUGUACAUAUGUCUAUUUGUCAGUGUAGUAAAACUGGUAGAAAAUUGCUAUAAUCUUCAUAAGCAAAACAGUAACCACCUCAAAUCUAGAUGGAUCAAAAUCAUGAGGAUCAGAAAAGAAUUCUGGAUUAUGAUGAAUAUUCCUGAACAAUGGCAUCACUUUCCAACCCUUGGGUAUUAGGUAUCCUGUACAUUUAAAAGUUGAAACAACAGUAAUUAAUUAAAACCCCUUUAAACCAAAUAAAUAUAAAAGAAUAUUCCAGUUAAGCCUUUAAUUUAUUUACCCUUAUACUCCACAUCAACUACUGCUUCCCUGAAUGUGAAAGAUAUGAUGCUUGCCAUCCUCAAACCCUCUAGUAAAACCUGAAAUUUCCCAAAAGAUUAGAGGUUUCUUGAAAAUUUUCUUUUCUUGAAACAAACAUUUAUGACUUUGAAACACAGUCCAUACCCUAUAUGUAAGAGUCAUUUUCCUUGUCUGUGCCCAUGUUAGACGCUCCUUCCCUCCAUUGUUCGACUCAUAUAUCGCCUUUUGCUCUGCCUGCAAUGAUUUUGAGAACCAUGAAGUGAGAAAAAAAAAUUCAAUUCUCGGAUGAUAAAUUUGUUAAGUAGUCUUGAAGUGUCAUGCUAGAAUGAUUUACCUUAACUGCUUCUAGAAGCUUGGGGUCAUCAUGGAGGAAUUUGAGAAUCCAUGUUAUAAAACUGGCUGUAGUGUCCUGUGCAGCAAAAAGUAUCCCAAUGAUGUUAUCAGCAAUUUGAUCUUCAGUCAAAGUUUCCCCCUUUUCAUCUUUGAAGUUCAACAGAUGGCCCAAAAGAUCCUUUUCUACCAGCCUUUUCUCCUUUCUCUCACGAAUUAUUUCACUUAGAAUCUGAUUCAGCCUUUUCCUUGCCUUUGAAUAAGGGGAAAAAAACAAAAAAGUUAAUAAAUCAGACUUGCAUCCAUGUGAUCACAUACAUACAUACAUACAUACAUGAACAUACGUUUCUAUGAUAAGGAGAAAUGACAUGUUCUUACCUGGAGUGCUUUGUGAUGUGCACUCCCAGGAAUUUUUGUAGGAAAAGAGUUGUAACCUUUAUCCACUAUCCUGUAGUUCUCCUCCAAUUUCUCUUUGUAGCCUCCAUCUAAGUGACCAAAUAUGGAAAGAAUGCCGACGUCGAAAGAGAACUGUAGAGAGUCAAGGAAAUCCACAUGUUAGAAAAUCAUGAUCCAACACCUAAGUGGAAUUCACAUGACAUUGAAACAUGUCAAAAAGCCAGCUUCAAUAAAAAGAAAAACAAAAUUCUAAAGGGAUUCCAAUGUAGGAAAAGUGAAGAGUACUAUAGGACAACAAAACCAGACAAGUCCUCCAUUAAGUAAUUUAGGUAAGUCAAAGGAGAGAAAGAAAACCCUUUAAACACAUUAGAAACAUGUUUAAAGAUGUGGUCUAAUCAAAUCUUGUCUUUUAAACACAUACAUGUGCAUAUAUUUAUAUACCUUCUUCAUCUCAUAAAAGGUGUUUAUAACUUGUCCAGAGGCAGCCCAUGAGUCCAAGGCAGAAAGAGCUAUGUGUUCAAUAUCAGGAAUUAGCUUCCUGAUGGUAUCAGGUGCUAGUGAGUAUUGAACCAACUUCCUUAGCCGAGUGUGGUAUUCACCCUGGUGAAAGAAGAGCGCCCAAGGGCCA
This 2210-nucleotide long non-coding RNA is filed under the name Gossypium barbadense (sea-island cotton). Its description in RNAcentral is "long non-coding RNA (GBAR_LNC022166)". The record is from RNAcentral. Lineage: Eukaryota; Viridiplantae; Streptophyta; Magnoliopsida; Malvales; Malvaceae.